UGAGGAAUAUUGGUCAAUGGGCGAGAGCCUGAACCAGCCAAAUCGCGUGAAGGACGACAGCCCUAUGGGUUUUAAACUUCUUUUGUAAGAGGGUAAAAAGGACUAUGUAUAGUCUGUUGCAAGUAUCUUACGAAUAAGCAUCGGCUAACUCCGUGCCAGCAGCCGCGGUAAUACGGAGGAUGCGAGCGUUAUCCGGAUUUAUUGGGUUUAAAGGGUGCGUAGGCGGGAGAUCAAGUCAGUGGUGAAAUGUAUCGGCUCAACCGAUAACGUGCCAUUGAAACUAAUCUUCUUGAGUGUAGAAGAGGUAAGCGGAAUGCGUGGUGUAGCGGUGAAAUGCAUAGAUAUCACGCAGAACUCCAAUUGCGAAGGCAGCUUACUGGGCUACAACUGACGCUGAUGCACGAAAGCGUGGGGAUCAAACA
Molecule: ribosomal RNA, 422 nt
Filed under: uncultured Porphyromonadaceae bacterium
Lineage: Bacteria; Pseudomonadati; Bacteroidota; Bacteroidia; Bacteroidales; Porphyromonadaceae
Description: partial 16S ribosomal RNA
Rfam family: Bacterial small subunit ribosomal RNA
Source: RNAcentral